GCCUGAUAUUCAUAUGAUGAAAUCAUAAUCUUUCAGUCAGUUUAAUUGAAGUCUGGAACUGGCAUGUCAGUUAACUGCUAGUAGUCUGUUGUUAUUUAUGUAUUAUUGUCAUUUUGUUUAUUUUCUUUGGUUACAUCUUCUGACAUCAGACUCGGACUUCUCUUGAACUGAAUUUUAAUGUGCGUAUUGUUAUGCGUUUACUUUUCUACAUUGGCUAGAUGUAUAGGGGGAGGGUUGAGAUCUCACAAACAUGUUUAACCCCGCCGCAUUUUUGCGCCUGUCCCAAGUCAGGAGCCUCUGGCCUUUGUUACUCUUGUAUUAUUUUUAUUUUAGUUUCUUGUGUACAAUUUGGAAAUUAGUAUGGCGUUCAUUAUCACUGAACUAGUAUAUAUUUGUUUAGGAGCC
RNAcentral lists this long non-coding RNA (405 nucleotides) under Mytilus galloprovincialis (Mediterranean mussel). The record is from RNAcentral. Lineage: Eukaryota; Metazoa; Mollusca; Bivalvia; Mytilida; Mytilidae.